UAGCAUGUUUCCAGGGUCAGUGGCUUAUAAUGGCCGUAGGAUUUCCAAUUGCAUGCAAAAGCAACCUGGAGAGACUCUGACAGUGAAGGUCACCAGUACCUACAAUUGCCACUCACCUUUCCUAUAAAC
Small nucleolar RNA from Sorex fumeus (smoky shrew), 129 nucleotides. RefSeq annotates it as small nucleolar RNA SNORA44. The record is from RefSeq and is a predicted model, not a curated record. Lineage: Eukaryota; Metazoa; Chordata; Mammalia; Eulipotyphla; Soricidae. The transcript has a single exon.